UUUUCCAAAAAAAGAAGAUGCACAACUGGCAGGAGAACGAAAUCAAGGAACUUUUGACCCUUCGGGGGUCGGACGCGAUCCGUAACCAGAUCACGGGCACGGUGAAAGACUCCGUAGUUUACAACAGGAUGACCAAACUGCUGGCGGAGAGGGGGGUGUACAGGUCACACAUGCAGGUAAUCAGCAAACUGAAGGCGCUGAGGAAGCAAUACCUCAAGUACCACCAACUGAAGACCCGCUGCGGGAGCGACCGCGUAGACUGGCCAUUUUAUGAGCAGUGCCACAGAUGUUUCGGGAAUACUCCGGUGGGGAAUCCGAUGAAACGGUCCAGGAAUCCCACACCCCCACCUGCAUCCACGACCUCGCCGCCGCCUCCUUCAUGCACGUCGCCACCUGCCAUCAGCGAUGAGCAAGAGCAGGCUGCAGUCGGCCUCUGGGACGAAGUGGACGAGAGGGACAUAAACAAACACUUGGGUCCAGUGGAGGCAGAAGACGAUGAGGACCAGUACAGCCCAUCAGAACAGUUCCACACCAUCAACGCAAGUAAGCCAUACCAAAUUCCCCUGAAGAAAAAGAAAACAACGGUAAUGGAGCAAGUCUCUACUUUAGUGUCGGCAACAGUCGCUCAGCUCAGAGAGAUGGAUGCCGUCAUGCAGGCUCAGGAGGAUGCCCGGCUACAGAGAUUAAUGGACCAUGAGAAGGAAAUGCAGAACAAUCUAAUGAGCCAGCUUGUAGCCAUGCACGAAAGGAUCAGUCAAGAAAACCACGAGAGACACGUUGAACUUGUCAACAGGAUACUCUCAAGGUUCCCUUUACCUUCAGCUCCUUCAGGCCAUUGACUGAAUCUUCCAGUGCGAGUGCUGCAGAGUUAUGCAAGUCUACCGGACUCUCUUCUCCGACAGCUGACUAGUGCCUAAGCCCAAGAACAGAAAUCCUAGAUGUAAACCUGGACAGAUGAAACCAAAUCUCUCUCUGUGGCUAGAUACCACUACACAUCGAUGUUCCUCAGUGUGAAACACGAGACUAAGAACUGUCUGCAUGUGGCAUGAUGGAUGAUUCCAGACAGGUGCGACCAACAGACCGUGACAGGAACAGGCCCAUCAGUCCAUCUGGGUUUCAGCCUGGAAAGUCCGGCAGAUUUGGCAGAGAUCCUGAUCCUCCCUGGAGACCUGAGGUAGGUGGAGAGAAGGUUGGCUUCCUCCUGGGCAUUACUCCCACGCUUCCGCCUUGAAUGUACAGUACUUGAAUAACUAGUAGUCGAGCAGUAAUGCAGUAUGUUAUCUGAUUGGCAACCAGCUGGGCUUCUGCUUCUCUAAAGUGAAUGUUGAAAUACACGACAGAAUAAACGUAUGAAUUUAGUUUGUGACGAACACCUCGGCUUCUUAGGGGAAACUUUUCCUUUAUAAACUCUCUACAGUCUGUUGUAUAUGAAAAUAUCCUGCUGUGAAUAGUUCAGUUGCAGGUAGUGCAUAUAUUGUUUUAUUUUGUCUAACUGAUUUAUUUUUCUCAUGGUUAGUAUUUGUUAAUACAGCUCAGGGCACAUCAGGCCAGCUGAACAUGUCAGAUUUCUUUACAGUCAGACGUACAAAUCUGGAGACCGUUUGUAGUAGUUAAGGUAGUGUUUCAGGACCCCACAAAAGUACUGCCCAAAAUUAAAUAGGAAAUAGUAUUUCUACAGUAGGCUUGGCCCAAUUUUGUUUAUAGCCUAUGCUAUAUUCAAUUUAUAUCAAUGCUUGAUUUUACAACAGGGUUGAAUGGACAAGGUCCUCUUCAGAGUAAACAUGGAUGAUAGUCAUGUCUCCUUAUUUCAUAUUAAAUGAAGGGAUUUU
Molecule: RNA transcript, 1829 nt
Organism: Monopterus albus (swamp eel)
Lineage: Eukaryota; Metazoa; Chordata; Actinopteri; Synbranchiformes; Synbranchidae
Exons: 5
Source: RefSeq, a predicted model, not a curated record